This 500-nucleotide ribosomal RNA is filed under the name uncultured bacterium. RNAcentral's name for it is "partial 16S ribosomal RNA". It matches the Rfam family "Bacterial small subunit ribosomal RNA", at positions 30 to 523 of the family's 1533-position model. The record is from RNAcentral.
AUUGAACGCUGGCGGAAUGCUUUACACAUGCAAGUCGAACGGCAGCACGGACUUCGGUCUGGUGGCGAGUGGCGAACGGGUGAGUAAUACAUCGGAACGUGCCCAGUCGUGGGGGAUAACGUAGCGAAAGCUACGCUAAUACCGCAUACGAUCUAAGGAUGAAAGCGGGGGAUCGCAAGACCUAGCGCGAUUGGAGCGGCCGAUGGCAGGUUAGGUAGUUGGUAGGGUAAAGGCCUACCAAGCCGACGAUCUGUAGCUGGUCUGAGAGGACGACCGGCGACACUGGGACUGAGACACGGCCCAGCCUCCUACGGGAGGCAGCAGUGGGGAAUUUUGGACAAUGGACGCAAGUCUGAUCCAGCCAUUCCGCGUGCAGGAUGAAGGCCCUCGGGUUGUAAACUGCUUUUGUACAGAAAGAAAAAGCUCUGGUUAAUACCUGGAGCUCAUGACGGUACUGUAAGAAUAAGCACCGGCUAACUACGUGCCAGCAGCCGCAGUAA